GAUGAACGCUGGCGGCGUGCCUAAUACAUGCAAGUCGAGCGAACAGAUGAGGAGCUUGCUCCUCUGACGUUAGCGGCGGACGGGUGAGUAACACGUGGAUAACCUACCUAUAAGACUGGGAUAACUUCGGGAAACCGGAGCUAAUACCGGAUAAUAUAUUGAACCGCAUGGUUCAAUAGUGAAAGACGGUUUUGCUGUCACUUAUAGAUGGAUCCGCGCCGCAUUAGCUAGUUGGUAAGUUAACGGCUUACCAAGGCAACGAUGCGUAGCCGACCUGAGAGGGUGAUCGGCCACACUGGAAGUGAGACACGGUCCAGACUCCUACGGGAGGCAGCAGUAGGGAAUCUGCCGCAAUGGGCGAAAGCCUGACGGAGCAACGCCGCGUGAGUGAUGAAGGUCUUCGGAUCGUAAAACUCUGUUAUUAGGGAAGAACAAAUGUGUAAGUAACUAUGCACGUCUUGACGGUACCUAAUCAGAAAGCCACGGCUAACUACGUG
RNAcentral lists this ribosomal RNA (497 nucleotides) under uncultured bacterium. RNAcentral describes it as "partial 16S ribosomal RNA". It matches the Rfam family "Bacterial small subunit ribosomal RNA", at positions 28 to 507 of the family's 1533-position model. The record is from RNAcentral.